RNAcentral lists this ribosomal RNA (261 nucleotides) under uncultured bacterium. RNAcentral describes it as "partial 16S ribosomal RNA". It matches the Rfam family "Bacterial small subunit ribosomal RNA", at positions 516 to 776 of the family's 1533-position model. The record is from RNAcentral.
AAAACAAAUACGAAGGGUGCAAGCGUUAAUCGGAAUUACUGGGCGUAAAGCGCGCGUAGGUGGUUCGGUAAGUUGGAUGUAAAAUCUCCCGGCUCAACUGGGAGGCGACGUUCAAUACUGUCGGACUUGAGGGCGAUAGAGGGAGGUGGAAUUCCCGGUGUAGUGGUGAAAUGCGUAGAUAUCGGGAGGAACACCAGUGGCGAAAGCGACCACCUGGCCAAAUACUGACGCUGAGGUGCGAAAGCGUGGGGAGCAAACAGG